CCUACGGGAGGCAGCAGUAGGGAAUUUUCGUCAAUGGGCGCAAGCCUGAACGAGCGAUGCCGCGUGAGUGAAGAAGGCCUUCGGGUCGUAAAGCUCUGUUGCGGGGGAAAAAAGGCAGCAUCAGGAAAUGGGUGCUGACUGAUGGUGCCCCGCCAGAAAGUCACGGCUAACUACGUGCCAGCAGCCGCGGUAAUACGUAGGUGGCGAGCGUUAUCCGGAAUGGUUGGGCGGAAAGGGUGCGCAGGCGGUCCUUCAAGUCUGGAGUGAAACGCAUGAGCUCAACUCAUGCAUGGCUUUGGAAACUGGAGGACUUGAGUGCAGGAGAGGUCGGUGGAACUCCAUGUGUAGCGGUAAAAUGCGUAGAUAUAUGGAAGAACACCAGUGGCGAAGGCGGCCGCCUGGCCUGUUGCUGACGCUGAGGCACGAAAGCGUGGGUAGCAAAUAGGAUUAGAUACCCGGGUAGUC
RNAcentral lists this ribosomal RNA (465 nucleotides) under uncultured bacterium. RNAcentral's name for it is "partial 16S ribosomal RNA". It matches the Rfam family "Bacterial small subunit ribosomal RNA", at positions 338 to 795 of the family's 1533-position model. The record is from RNAcentral.